Long non-coding RNA from Panicum virgatum (switchgrass), 638 nucleotides. RefSeq lists it as uncharacterized. The record is from RefSeq and is a predicted model, not a curated record. The transcript has 3 exons. Lineage: Eukaryota; Viridiplantae; Streptophyta; Magnoliopsida; Poales; Poaceae.
ACACGAGCGCCUCGCGCUGCGUGGGGGAGGCGGGGGCAAAGGAGCAGCAGCAGGCGGGGACGGACGAGGACCAGCUCCGUGGCUGCCCGCACCCGCCGCCCGCGCGCCCCGCGUGACGGACACGAGCGGGCCAAGACUCUGGCGCCCUCGACGUGUUCGACGGAUUGCCUGGCCGCCUCGUCGCCCACCGUCCUCCUCGGCUCUGCGGCACCGCGCGCGGGGACAAGGACCGGGCUCGUGGCACGAUGACAAUAAGCGGGCGUUGCUCGACCCGACUACCAAGGUGGCGCGGGGAGUCCCCAGCGUUCGUCCUCUGGGGUCUUAUAUUGGAUUGGUAGCUGUACUGUAAAUUUCAUCUUACCUGGUAAAAAAUUUAUAAGUGAUUCUUAUAUGUAUCCUGCUUUCAAAACGCCAUUCAGGCAGGCAGGUAAGCCCAUCAAUCCAGCUUUUGUUUAUAUCUUUGUAUGAUUUCUAUGUUUAUUAUUGGCAGGCAGGUUAGCCAAUCAUGAAAUGGAUGUCCUUUCUCAAAAUAUGGGUGAAAUGAUACGGCAGGAUUUUUAUUGCUUAAAUCAACGAUGACAGCUUACAAACAAGGGCAAGACAACCCGGAUCACCCCCCCUUGGAGGCUCUGACCUUU